AUUUUGGGAAAUGUGGUUUGCAUCAAGGUCAUAGUCGUAAUCUAGCUUGUAUGGACAAUGGCAAUGUGAAUAUUGUUGUCGAUGAACUUGAUAAAGUGGCAAAUAUCAAACCAGAAUGGGAAGUUCGGAAAUAUGAGCACCAGGCAGGAUAUCAGGCUGGUUUCAAGGGAUGGGGAGGCUGGGGAGAUGUACGGGAUCACGAAUUGUGUGUGGAGUUUGCUAAAAUGUAUGUCUGAGGGUGGUCUUGCACUUUCUGAAGAGUGAUAUUUUGAGCUUCACAACCAUACUACUUUUAAGGUCUGGAAACCAUGGAAAUCACUCUUUAGUGUAAAACAUGUGUAAAGUUUUAGGAAUGACGUUAUGUUUUGCAUUCACAGGCCAGCUAUUAUUGAGUGCACACUAAAUUUUGUUUUGCAUCCCCUUUCUGG
Molecule: unclassified non-coding RNA, 428 nt
Filed under: Hevea brasiliensis (rubber tree)
Lineage: Eukaryota; Viridiplantae; Streptophyta; Magnoliopsida; Malpighiales; Euphorbiaceae
Source: RNAcentral